This 303-nucleotide ribosomal RNA is filed under the name uncultured Rhodospirillum sp. RNAcentral describes it as "LSU rRNA". It matches the Rfam family "Bacterial large subunit ribosomal RNA", at positions 1612 to 1932 of the family's 2925-position model. The record is from RNAcentral. Lineage: Bacteria; Pseudomonadati; Pseudomonadota; Alphaproteobacteria; Rhodospirillales; Rhodospirillaceae.
GAAAUAGCUCUGGCUAUAGACCGUACCCUAAACCGACACAGGUGGGAUGGUAGAGAAUACCAAGGCGCUUGAGAGAACUGCGUUGAAGGAACUCGGCAAAAUACCUCCGUAACUUCGGGAGAAGGAGGCCCCAGUUUAAGGCAACUUUUAUUGGGGGGCACAGACCAGGGGGUGGCGACUGUUUACUAAAAACAUAGGUCUCURCGAAGUCGUAAGACGAAGUAUAGGGACUGACGCCUGCCCGGUGCCGGAAGGUUAAAAGGAGGUGUGCAAGCACCGAAUUGAAGCCCCGGUAACGCGGCG